This 889-nucleotide ribosomal RNA is filed under the name uncultured bacterium. RNAcentral's name for it is "bacterial SSU rRNA". It matches the Rfam family "Bacterial small subunit ribosomal RNA", at positions 505 to 1397 of the family's 1533-position model. The record is from RNAcentral.
GUGCCAGCAGCCGCGGUAAUACGGAAGGUCCGGGCGUUAUCCGGAUUUAUUGGGUUUAAAGGGAGCGCAGGCUGAUGAUUAAGCGUGACGUGAAAUGUAGCCGCUCAACGGCUGAACUGCGUCGCGAACUGGUUAUCUUGAGUGAGUUCGAUGUUGGCGGAAUUCGUGGCGUAGCGGUGAAAUGCUUAGAUAUCACGAAGAACUCCGAUUGCGAAGGCAGCCAACAAGGCCUUUACUGACGCUAAAGCUCGAAGGUGCGGGUAUCGAACAGGAUUAGAUACCCUGGUAGUCCGCACGGUAAACGAUGGAUGCCCGCUGUUUGCGAUAUACUGUGAGCGGCCAAGAGAAAUCGUUAAGCAUCCCACCUGGGGAGUACGCCGGCAACGGUGAAACUCAAAGGAAUUGACGGGGGCCCGCACAAGCGGAGGAACAUGUGGUUUAAUUCGAUGAUACGCGAGGAACCUUACCCGGGCUUGAACUGCAGCGGAAGGAUACAGAGAUGUUGACGCCCUUCGGGGCCGCUGUGGAGGUGCUGCAUGGUUGUCGUCAGCUCGUGCCGUGAGGUGUCGGCUUAAGUGCCAUAACGAGCGCAACCCUUUUCAUUAGUUGCCAUCAGGUAAUGCUGGGCACUCUGGUGAUACUGCCACCGUAAGGUGUGAGGAAGGUGGGGAUGACGUCAAAUCAGCACGGCCCUUACGUCCGGGGCUACACACGUGUUACAAUGGGAGGUACAGAGAGUCGGAUAUACGCAAGUAUGUUCUAAUCCUUAAAGCCUUCCUCAGUUCGGAUUGGGGUCUGCAACCCGACCCCAUGAAGCUGGAUUCGCUAGUAAUCGCGCAUCAGCCAUGGCGCGGUGAAUACGUUCCCGGGCCUUGUACACACCGCCCGU